Molecule: ribosomal RNA, 877 nt
Filed under: Bacillus sp. BVC82
Lineage: Bacteria; Bacillati; Bacillota; Bacilli; Caryophanales; Bacillaceae
Description: bacterial SSU rRNA
Rfam family: Bacterial small subunit ribosomal RNA
Source: RNAcentral
GAAUGCCGAAUCUAUAAUGCAGUCGAGCGGAUCGAUGGGAGCUUGCUCCCUGAGAUCAGCGGCGGACGGGUGAGUAACACGUGGGUAACCUGCCUGUAAGACUGGGAUAACUCCGGGAAACCGGGGCUAAUACCGGAUAACACCUACCCCCGCAUGGGGGAAGGUUGAAAGGUGGCUUCGGCUAUCACUUACAGAUGGACCCGCGGCGCAUUAGCUAGUUGGUGAGGUAAUGGCUCACCAAGGCGACGAUGCGUAGCCGACCUGAGAGGGUGAUCGGCCACACUGGGACUGAGACACGGCCCAGACUCCUACGGGAGGCAGCAGUAGGGAAUCUUCCGCAAUGGACGAAAGUCUGACGGAGCAACGCCGCGUGAGUGAAGAAGGUUUUCGGAUCGUAAAACUCUGUUGUUAGGGAAGAACAAGUGCCGUUCGAAUAGGGCGGCGCCUUGACGGUACCUAACCAGAAAGCCACGGCUAACUACGUGCCAGCAGCCGCGGUAAUACGUAGGUGGCAAGCGUUGUCCGGAAUUAUUGGGCGUAAAGCGCGCGCAGGUGGUUUCUUAAGUCUGAUGUGAAAGCCCACGGCUCAACCGUGGAGGGUCAUUGGAAACUGGGGAACUUGAGUGCAGAAGAGGAAAGUGGAAUUCCAAGUGUAGCGGUGAAAUGCGUAGAUAUUUGGAGGAACACCAGUGGCGAAAGCGACUUUCUGGUCUGUAACUGACACUGAGGCGCGAAAGCGUGGGGAGCAAACAGGAUUAUAUACCCCUGGUAGUCCACGCCGAAACAAUGAGUGCCUAACGUUACAGGGUUUCCCCCCCUUUAGUGCUUGCAGCUAACGCAUUAACCACUUCGGCCUGGGGAGCCCGGUCGCAGCACU